Molecule: RNase P RNA, 363 nt
Filed under: Roseburia sp.
Lineage: Bacteria; Bacillati; Bacillota; Clostridia; Lachnospirales; Lachnospiraceae
Description: RNase P RNA component class A
Rfam family: Bacterial RNase P class A
About the family: Ribonuclease P (RNase P) is a ubiquitous endoribonuclease, found in archaea, bacteria and eukarya as well as chloroplasts and mitochondria. Its best characterised activity is the generation of mature 5'-ends of tRNAs by cleaving the 5'-leader elements of precursor-tRNAs.
Source: RNAcentral
UAAGUAGGACAAAUGGUCGCGGCCCGGUUUUACCGGGGUGAGGAAAGUCCGGGCUUCACAGGGCAGGAUGCCGGAUAACGUCCGGUAGAGGCGACUCUAAGGAUAGUGCAACAGAAAUAUACCGCCGGAUGCCUUCAGGGGCGUUUCGGUAAGGUUGGAAGGGCAGUGUAAGAGACUACCGCCUUCCCGGUAACGGGGAGGGCAUAUGUAAACCCCAUCCGAAGCAAGACCGAACAAAAGCGUUGACGUGGCCCGCCAGCUUUAGGUAGGUUGCUUGAGGUGGCUGGCAACAGCCAUCCUAGAUAGAUGACCAUUCGCUGCGUAAGCAGCCGACAUAACCCGGCUUAUCGUCCUGCUUAGAUU